RNAcentral lists this ribosomal RNA (390 nucleotides) under uncultured eukaryote. RNAcentral's name for it is "SSU rRNA". It matches the Rfam family "Eukaryotic small subunit ribosomal RNA", at positions 828 to 1218 of the family's 1831-position model. The record is from RNAcentral.
CUUGGGUUCUAUUUUGUUGGUCAAUGGAUCCUAAGUAAUGAUUAAUAGGGACAGUUGGGGCCGUUUAUAUUUCGUUGUCAGAGGUGAAAUUCUUGGAUUUACGAAAGAUAAACUUCUGCGAAAGCAUUCGGCAAGGAUGUUUUCAUUGAUCAAGAACGAAAGUUAGGGGAUCGAAGACGAUCAGAUACCGUCGUAGUCUUAACCAUAAACUAUGCCGACUAGGGAUCAGCGGAUGUCAAUUUACGACUUCGUUGGCACCUUGUGAGAAAUCAAAGUUUUUGGGUUCCGGGGGGAGUAUGGUCGCAAGGCUGAAACUUAAAGGAAUUGACGGAAGGGCACCACCAGGAGUGGAGCCUGCGGCUUAAUUUGACUCAACACGGGGAAACUCAC